This 307-nucleotide long non-coding RNA is filed under the name Vigna radiata. Its description in RNAcentral is "long non-coding RNA (VRAD_LNC008132)". The record is from RNAcentral. Lineage: Eukaryota; Viridiplantae; Streptophyta; Magnoliopsida; Fabales; Fabaceae.
UGGCAGAAGAAGUAGAUAACAUGUUGUAAUGAUAGUCCUACAAAUAAGAUGGUUUAUGUGUUGGUCUGGUUGAUUUCCUUUGUGGAGUAGCAGUGGCAGGUUCAACAGAAACAGGUUGAGAAGAAAAACUAAUAGGUUCUAGAACAAUAGAAGGAGGAGAUGUAGGUGGUAAAGAGGGUUGAUCAGUAACUUCUGAGAAAAGAGGUGAUGGAGAUGAAUUGAUUUUGGUGACAAAAUCCAAGGAAUUUUGUGUAUCAAUAGGUGUGUGCUUAUCACUAGUAAGAAAAGGAAAUAUGUUUUCAUAAAA